Molecule: ribosomal RNA, 253 nt
Filed under: uncultured bacterium
Lineage: Bacteria
Description: partial 16S ribosomal RNA
Rfam family: Bacterial small subunit ribosomal RNA
Source: RNAcentral
UACGGAGGGUGCGAACGUUAAUCGGAAUUACUGGGCGUAAAGCGCGCGUAGGCGGUUCGGCAAGUGGGAUGUGAAAGCCCCGGGCUUAACCUGGGAAUUGCGUUCCAAACUACCGGGCUAGAGUAUGGUAGAGGGAGGUAGAAUUUCAUGUGUAGCGGUGAAAUGCGUAGAUAUAGGAAGGAAUACCGGUGGCGAAGGCGGCCUCCUGGACCAAUACUGACGCUGAGGUGCGAAAGCGUGGGGAGCAAACAGG